UGGGGAAUUUUGGACAAUGGGGGAAACCCUGAUCCAGCCAUCCCGCGUGUGCGAUGAAGGCCUUCGGGUUGUAAAGCACUUUUGGCAGGAAAGAAACGUCAUGGGUUAAUACCCCGUGAAACUGACGGUACCAGCAGAAUAAGCACCGGCUAACUACGUGCCAGCAGCCGCGGUAAUACGUAGGGUGCAAGCGUUAAUCGGAAUUACUGGGCGUAAAGCGUGCGCAGGCGGUUCGGAAAGAAAGAUGUGAAAUCCCAGGGCUCAACUUUGGAACUGCAUUUGAAACUACCGGGCUAGAGUGUGGCAGAGGGAGGUGGAAUUCCGGGUGUAGCAGUGAAAUGCGUAGAUAUGCGGAGGAACACCGAUGGCGAAGGCAGCCUCCUGGGAUAACACUGACGCUCAGGCACGAAAGCGUGGGGAGCAAACAGG
Molecule: ribosomal RNA, 429 nt
Filed under: Acidobacteriota bacterium
Lineage: Bacteria; Pseudomonadati; Acidobacteriota
Description: Acidobacteria bacterium partial 16S ribosomal RNA
Rfam family: Bacterial small subunit ribosomal RNA
Source: RNAcentral